ACACCAUUGUGUCUGGUGGAAGUUAUUGAAGAAUAUUGCUUAAAAAACAAGCAUAGAACUAUAGGAGAAAAAGCGACAUUAGAUCCUUUGUUUUAUGUUCUUUUUUCAGAAAGCACAAUGAAGAGAAACAGGAGAAGUCAGCAGAAGUUGGCCUCUAACAAAAGCGUGUUGAAUUUUACACAUUUAGAUAUCCGAAAACGACUCGACUGCCCGAAAGCCAUGACUCUCAGGAAGAGGUCCGUUGCCGGCCCGAAUGGAGACUAUCACCUCCAUGCCUGCAUUAACACGGCAAUGCCACUCGUAAAAACAGGCGAAAAUACCGCCUCAACUCCAUAUUAUCCCUAAUUGGAAAUCAGCGAAUCCUAAUUGGGAUGGAUGCACCCUACAUCUAGAUGUACACAAGUUUUUACCUUUCAAGAUUAUAGGUUAGUGGAGCUUGGAAAGUACCUGCUGUUUUUGCAGCUGUAGCUUCUUCGUACACGUCGGUCACAAACAAAAUCUGCGAUGGAUUGUCCACUCCUAGAGUUUCGGUGAUGUGCACGUAGGAUCUCAUUUCUUUCUUGUUUCUUCAUAAAACCAAGAGAAAUGUCAGCCUAGUCACAUGACGCGAUGCAAGAAUUUGAAGUCGAUAAGCCUUACCCUAUCGUGGUGUCAAAAAACCCGCACAAGUACUUCCUCAGGUCCCCGUACUUGGUGUUGCCAAACAAGAGCUUCUGAGCUAGUCUGCUCCCACUGGAAUAUAUAUACACCUACAAGAAAAGGGAUUGUGAGAAAGAAUGAUUGUAAAUGGAUUGCAAUAUUAGUUGAUUUCCACAAAUCAUUAUGCAGCUACCUCCAAUAUAUCUAACCAACCAAAGCAUUAUUCGGAAAUUUUAUGAUAUUGGCAAAAUAAAUCAUCUUAAUCUAUCCUAUCACACAAAAUAACCCCCACCCCAAAAAGGUCUUUUUGCACCUUACCUUAUUGCAACAUUUGGACUGUUAACUCUAUUUCUAAAGUUCAAGAAAAUACACCAAAUUGUUAUUCAAGAAUCCUAUGUACAUCUUAGGCCAUGACUGUAUUCAAACGGUGUUAAGCUUUUACAGUCAAGCUAUUUUUCUGCAGAACCUGCCUUUUACAGUAUCGUCACCAGAGUCGAGUUUAUCUACUAAUAAUCAUUUUGUCUGCAGCCACAUAGGCUCUUACAGGCAUGUUUUUCUGUUUGCGAGUUUAGCCAAAGAAAAGAGACUAGUAAACAGAUUCAUAGAGAUAGAUUUGCACAAGGUAAUGCAGGAUGAAAGUAAUAACCUUUAUUCCAAGAGAAUGCCACUUCUCGAGAGCUUCAGGAACGUCAUCAAAUACAACUCCCUCUAACUCGUGAUUCAGAAAUCCAGUUCGCCAUAUAUGACCCUGGAUGAAAAGUAUGUACAAGAAUUUCAAAUGGAUAAUAUGUAUUGGAAAUUUGCAAUGUUGGUCCUAUUAGAAAAUUUUCAUUUUCAUUUGUAGUUUUGUUCCCUGUCAGGAAAAUAGGUCCCGAAACAUGCUUGUUGGUACUUCCAUCAGGAUUCCGUCAAUAACUCUAGUUAGCAAUUUUAGCUCACCAAUUUUGAUAUUUUAUUUUUUGUUCUUAAUUUUAAUUAAUUAAAAUAUUGAACCAAUACAAACAUAUUCAUUUUUAAUUAAAGUAACAACGUAUGGAGUAAUAUGGCCCACAUAACUGAUUCUCAAUAAUCUAUAGUCGUAAAAGUUAGAAAAUGUUAAAAAAAAUGUAUAAAAGAUACUCCCUCCGUCCACUAAUUCAAGGCCUUCUUUCCUUUUUGGGNAGUACUACUACUCUCUCUCUCUCUCUCUAUAUAUAUAUAUAUAUAUAUAUAUAUAUAUAUAUAUAUAUAUAGGGGAGGUUCAAGAAAGAACCAUAAUAAAAAAGACGGAGAACCAUUUCAGCCAUUCGAUUAUCAAGAUCUACGGUGGGAUGUAUCAUCUUGUUGGAUGAAUGCAGAUCUUGGGGUUCGAAUCCUGAAGGGGAGCAAUUUUUUUUUAUUUUUUUGAGUGCAUUAAUUUUAACAGCGAAUGCAUUAAUUUUUACAGUGAAUGCAUUAGAUUUGAUGGUUCUCUCGUUCUCACAAAUAAUGUAGUUCUCUCUAGAACCCAACUCUAUAUAUGUAUAUAUAUUAUAUAUAUAUAUAUAUAUAUAUAUAUAUAUAUAUAUAUAUAUAUAUAUUGUGAAUUUACCCAUGUGAAUUUAAAUAUCCAAUAUUUAAAAUUUAAAAUCACCAAUAGUAAAUUUAUGAAUUUAUACUUAGAAUUUAUAUUUUUUUGAAAAAUAUCAUUUUCUUGUGAAUUUAUAUAUUUUUAGAUAAAUUUAUAUUGAAAUAUCCAAUAUAAAUUUAUAGUUUUGUAAAAAUUUAUCAAUUUCAAUUAAAUCUUUUGUGAAAAACAUCCAAUAUUUAAAAUUUAUAAUAUAAAUAUAUAUAAAUUACAUGGGAUCUUGUAGUCAUUUGCAAAAGUGAAUAUUAUUUUUCAUUUACACGCAAUUUUUGACUAUAGAUUGUUUUUUAAUUCAAGAAAAUAAAAACUUAUUUACGAACUCUAGCAAUAUCUCAUAUUAAUUCUUACUUAUUUACACACUAAACAAAGGGAUUGGUAUGCAUGAUCAAUGGGAUUUUUUGUAUGAUCUUCACAGCUAAACAGACGAUGAAGAAGCCUUAUUUCAAGGUAUACAUGGCGUCAAAUUUGUGGGAGAGAGAGAGAUAGAGAGGGUGAUAGAGUGAAAUGUGUAAUUUGACAACAUUCCUUAUAUAUCUCAAAAAAUGCAGCAACUUUUUAUUAUAUCAAACCAAAAUCAACUCCAUUGUCAAAGCAUCUCAUUUAAUAUAAUAUAUUAAAUAUAUAAGUUUCAUAUAUAUCUCCCAUGAAAUGUGCAUCCUCAUGGCCUAUAUAAACUAACUUUUCGUGUUAAAAUUUUACUUACACUCCCUUCUCAUUUUGAUAUUCAUCAUUUCUCUAAUCACAAGCAUGCCGACCAUGUGGUCUAUAGUAAAAAACUUGCAACCAAAUAAUGCCAGAUCUACAAUUAAAAUGAGACUUGUGCGUGCAUACAACCGCUCAUCUCAAAGCACCAAUAAUGUUAUCAGCUAUGAGUGUAUUUUUCAUGAUCGUGAGGUAAAAAUUCUCUAUUCACUAAACUAUUGCGUAUUUAAGCAUUUUUGCAACAUUAUUAUGUUUUCUAAUUUAGUUAUUUUUAAUAUAGGGUGACCGCAUCCAUGCUACACUUGAUCGCACGUUGAUCCCCAAGUUCAAACAUAUCUUGAAAGAAGACAGUGUUUAUGCCAUAAAAUUUUUUUGGGUGAUGCAUGAUUCCAACGAAAAAUAUAGAACAACGACAAAUGUCUACUAUAUUAAAUUUAUUAAUAGUAGUCAUAUAGUUGAAAUUUAUGAAGAAGGUUUUCCACGCCAACUAUUUAACUUUAAAAGUUUUGAAGAAUUGGCCUCCAUUGCAAUGACAAUAUGCUAUUUGGUAAUGUGUUUAUUUCAUUAUUUCCUUAUACAUGCAUAUUCAAUUGAUAAUCUCAAAAUUCAUAUUUUUAUAAACUCAACAUUUUGAUAUAUCUACAUUAUUGGUAUGCAUUUAUAUAUGUAGAUGUAAUUGGUGUGGUUUUGCAAUGAUGGAAGACAAGUUAAAGGGGUCUGAAAUCUUGAUAUGUAAUGAAGACAAAAUAGAAUGUUCGACUACUACAAAUGUUGUAUAUAAAGAAAUUUUCCAAAAUUUAUAAUAAUAAGAUGAGAAGUUUCCAAUUGUCUUUUCAUGUAUUAUUAUUUUUACAUUGAUUUUUAUGUAAUUAAAAAUGAUAGUCUUAAAUAUAUUUUAGUAGUAAUAUAAUUGGUAUAACAAUUGUAUAAUAAAAUAUUUUUAAAAUUCAUUUAUUUUAGUGAUUAUACAAAAAUGUCUUCGAGAAUAUGUUACAAUAAAACUUUAACAACAUAUGUAAUCCCGUGCAUCGCACGGGUAAAACACUAGUAGGAGAAAAAGCGACAUUAGAUCCUUUGUUUUAUAUUCUUUUUUCAGAAAGCACAAUGAAGAGAAACAGGAGAAGUCAGCAGAAGUUGGCCUCUAACAAAAGCGUGUUGAAUUUUACACAUUUAGAUAUCCGAAAACGACUCGACUGUCCGAAAGCCAUGAC
RNAcentral lists this long non-coding RNA (4158 nucleotides) under Salvia miltiorrhiza (redroot sage). RNAcentral's name for it is "long non-coding RNA (SMIL_LNC008726)". The record is from RNAcentral. Lineage: Eukaryota; Viridiplantae; Streptophyta; Magnoliopsida; Lamiales; Lamiaceae.